AUUUAUUACCCUUGUCUUUUGCGCACUUGUUGUUUCCUGGGCGGGUUCGCUCGCCACCAGGACCACAAUAUAAACCUUUUUUAUGCAGUUGCAAUCAGCGUCAGUAUAACAAACGUAAAUCAUUUACAACUUUCAACAACGGAUCUCUUGGUUCUGGCAUCGAUGAAGAACGCAGCGAAAUGCGAUACGUAGUGUGAAUUGCAGAAUUCAGUGAAUCAUCGAAUCUUUGAACGCACAUUGCGCCCUUUGGUAUUCCAAAGGGCAUGCCUGUUCGAGCGUCAUUUGUACCCUCAAGCUUUGCUUGGUGUUGGGCGUUUUUGUCCCCCCCAAAAGGGGGACUCGCCUUAAAAGGAUUGGCAGCCGGCCUACUGGUUUCGCAGCGCAGCACAUUUUUGCGCUUGCAAUCAGCAAAAGAGGACGGCAAUCCAUCAAGACUCCUUCUCACGUUUGACCUCGGAUCAGGUAGGGAUA
RNAcentral lists this ribosomal RNA (471 nucleotides) under Curvularia hawaiiensis. RNAcentral describes it as "eukaryotic LSU rRNA". The stretch from base 128 to 281 matches the Rfam family "5.8S ribosomal RNA". The record is from RNAcentral. Lineage: Eukaryota; Fungi; Ascomycota; Dothideomycetes; Pleosporales; Pleosporaceae.